Molecule: transfer RNA, 71 nt
Filed under: Marmota monax (woodchuck)
Lineage: Eukaryota; Metazoa; Chordata; Mammalia; Rodentia; Sciuridae
Description: tRNA.Thr
Rfam family: tRNA
About the family: Transfer RNA (tRNA) molecules are approximately 80 nucleotides in length. Their secondary structure includes four short double-helical elements and three loops (D, anti-codon, and T loops).
Source: RNAcentral
GGGGUUGUGGCUCAGUGGUAGAGUGCUUGCCUAGUAUGCAUGAGGCACUGGGUUCAAACUCCAGUACCACA